CCUACGGGCGGCAGCAGUGGGGGAUAUUGCACAAUGGGGGAAACCCUGAUGCAGCGACGCCGCGUGAGUGAAGAAGUAUUUCGGUAUGUAAAGCUCUAUCAGCAGGGAAGAAAAUGACAGUACCUGACCAAGAAGCCCCGGCUAACGACGGGCCAGCAGCCGCGGUAAUACGUAGGGGGCAAGCGUUAUCCGGAUUUACUGGGUGUAAAGGGAGCGUAGACGGUUUUGUUAGUCUGGAGUGAAAGCCCGGGGCCCAACCCCGGGACUGCUUUGGAAACUGUGUAACUGGAGUACAGGAGGGGCCGGCGGACUUCCUGGUGUAGCGGUGAAAUGCGUAGAUAUCAGGCGGAACACCGGCGGCGAAGGCGGCCUGCUGGACUGAAACUGACGUUGAGGCUC
Molecule: ribosomal RNA, 399 nt
Filed under: uncultured bacterium
Lineage: Bacteria
Description: partial 16S ribosomal RNA
Rfam family: Bacterial small subunit ribosomal RNA
Source: RNAcentral